RNAcentral lists this ribosomal RNA (465 nucleotides) under Vreelandella stevensii. RNAcentral's name for it is "partial 16S ribosomal RNA". It matches the Rfam family "Bacterial small subunit ribosomal RNA", at positions 338 to 795 of the family's 1533-position model. The record is from RNAcentral. Lineage: Bacteria; Pseudomonadati; Pseudomonadota; Gammaproteobacteria; Oceanospirillales; Halomonadaceae.
CCUACGGGCGGCAGCAGUGGGGAAUAUUGGACAAUGGGGGCAACCCUGAUCCAGCCAUGCCGCGUGUGUGAAGAAGGCCCUCGGGUUGUAAAGCACUUUCAGUGAGGAAGAACGCCUGGUGGUUAAUACCCAUCAGGAAAGACAUCACUCACAGAAGAAGCACCGGCUAACUCCGUGCCAGCAGCCGCGGUAAUACGGAGGGUGCGAGCGUUAAUCGGAAUUACUGGGCGUAAAGCGCGCGUAGGUGGCUUGAUAAGCCGGUUGUGAAAGCCCCGGGCUCAACCUGGGAACGGCAUCCGGAACUGUCAAGCUAGAGUGCAGGAGAGGAAGGUAGAAUUCCCGGUGCAGCGGUGAAAUGCGUAGAGAUCGGGAGGAAUACCAGUGGCGAAGGCGGCCUUCUGGACUGACACUGACACUGAGGUGCGAAAGCGUGGGUAGCAAACAGGAUUAGAUACCCGUGUAGUC